Molecule: ribosomal RNA, 320 nt
Filed under: uncultured Desulfovibrio sp.
Lineage: Bacteria; Pseudomonadati; Thermodesulfobacteriota; Desulfovibrionia; Desulfovibrionales; Desulfovibrionaceae
Description: bacterial SSU rRNA
Rfam family: Bacterial small subunit ribosomal RNA
Source: RNAcentral
AUUGAACGCUGGCGGCGUGCUUAACACAUGCAAGUCGAGCGAGAAAGCUACCUUCGGGUAGUGAGUAGAGCGGCGCACGGGUGAGUAACGCGUGGAUAAUCUACCCUAGAGAUCGGGAUAACAGUUGGAAACGACUGCUAAUACCGGAUACCCUGCAUAUUUAACUUUAUGUGGAAAAGAUGGCCUCUAUUUAUAAGCUAUCACUUUGGGAUGAGUCCGCGUCUCAUUAGUUUGUUGGUGGGGUGAUGGCCUACCAAGACUACGAUGAGUAGCUGGUCUGAGAGGAUGAUCAGCCACACUGGGACUGAAACACGGCCCAG